GGUCCAAGAUCGGAUUGGACCGCAGUACCUCCUGCUGCUUUCAUUCACUGGCUAGUGCUCUACCGAAGAAGUGGCUUCUCUAACCCUUAUUGAGAUUCUUAUGUUAGAGGUAAGGAAAACAGAACUUAAGAGAUGUGAACACAUGUGCUAGGUUUUCAAGGUUAAUGAGGAAUAGGGAAUUUGAGCCUGGGAUUUAGAAUAUCCACUUGAUUUUUUUUUUUUUUUUUUUUUUUUUGCCAGUCCUGGGGCUUGAACUCAGGGCCCCAGCACCGUCCCCGGCUUCUUUUUGCUCAAGGCUAGCACUCUACCACUUGAGCAACAGCGCCACUUCCAGCUUUUUCUGUUUUUGUGGAGCUGAGGACUCGAAUCAAGGGAUUCAUGAAUGCUAGGCAAGCUCUCUACUGCUAAGCCACCUUCCCAGCCCUAUCCACUUUUUUCUUUUUUAAAAAAUG
This is a long non-coding RNA of Perognathus longimembris pacificus (Pacific pocket mouse), 452 nucleotides long. RefSeq lists it as uncharacterized. The transcript is spliced from 3 exons. NCBI's taxonomy places the organism in Eukaryota, Metazoa, Chordata, Mammalia, Rodentia, Heteromyidae. The record is from RefSeq and is a predicted model, not a curated record.